Molecule: long non-coding RNA, 215 nt
Filed under: Sorghum bicolor (sorghum)
Lineage: Eukaryota; Viridiplantae; Streptophyta; Magnoliopsida; Poales; Poaceae
Description: long non-coding RNA (SBIC_LNC012343)
Source: RNAcentral
GGGCUAAGGGGUAUGGUUAUAUAGUCCCCUCAAGUGAACCUGGGCCGUCGGAUCAAACCGACAUUGAUUGAACGGUUAUUCUUGAUCCUUUAGGUCGGUGGAGCAUAAUCCGCGAGGUUGAACGUGAUUGGCCACUAUAGCAGGGCGGGCGCCCUAAGGACUUGGGCGGGCGCCCAAGUCCUGGCUCCGUUCGGCCUCCGCUUCCUUCCCGUGGC